AGUGAACGCUGGCGGCAGGCUUAACACAUGCAAGUCGAGCGGGGUGAUGGUGCUUGCACUAUCACUUAGGGGCGGCGGGGUGAGUAAUGCUUAGGAAUCUGCCCAUUAGUGGGUGACAACAUGCCGAAAGGGGUGCUAAUACCGCAUACGUCCUACGGGAGGAAGCAGGGGAGCACUUGUGACCUUGACCUAAUAGAGGAGCCGAAGUCGGAUUAGCUAGUUGGGGGGGUAAAGGCCUACAAAGGCGACGAUCUGUAGCGGGUCUGAGCGGAUGAUCCGCCAAACUGGGACUGAGACACGGCCCAGACUCCUACGGGAGGCAGCAGUGGGGAAUAUUGGACAAUGGGGGGAACCCUGAUCCAGCCAUGCCGCGUGUGUGAAGAAGGCCUUAUGGUUGUAAAGCACUUUAAGCGAGGAGGAGGCUCUUUUGGUUAAUACCCAAGAUGAGUGGACGUUACUCGCAGAAUAAGCACCGGCUAACUCUGUGCCAGCCGCCGCCGUAA
Molecule: ribosomal RNA, 503 nt
Filed under: uncultured bacterium
Lineage: Bacteria
Description: partial 16S ribosomal RNA
Rfam family: Bacterial small subunit ribosomal RNA
Source: RNAcentral